UCGUAGAUCAGCAUGCUACGGUGAAUACGUUCCCGGGUCUUGUACACACCGCCCGUCACACCACGAGAGUUUGUAACACCCGAAGCCGGUGGAGUAACCUUUUAGGAGCUAGCCGUCGAAGGUGGGACAAAUGAUUGGGGUGAAGUCGUAACAAGGUAGCCGUAUCGGAAGGUGCGGCUGGAUCACCUCCUUUCUAAGGA
This 200-nucleotide ribosomal RNA is filed under the name Staphylococcus aureus. RNAcentral's name for it is "partial 16S ribosomal RNA". It matches the Rfam family "Bacterial small subunit ribosomal RNA", at positions 1342 to 1533 of the family's 1533-position model. The record is from RNAcentral. Lineage: Bacteria; Bacillati; Bacillota; Bacilli; Caryophanales; Staphylococcaceae.